GAUGCCGCAAGAUUAGUCUGUUGUUUUUGUCCGGGUCAGGUUUUACUUGUUGGUUGUUAUUACUCUAUAAACUCUCCUUAAUCAAUGAAACGGGCAAGUCUUUUGCCUUUGUUUUAAAAAUAAUAAUGCACACACGUGUAAACCUCACAACACAACAAGAAAGGCAGAUGUCUUGAAGAUUUGCAAAAAGGAAACCCGAAAGAAAAAAAAAUACAAAUUGAUCACUCUAAGAUACCCUGGUUCCAUCGUCCACCACCAUGAUGCUUCCCAAAAAGCGAACAGGGCAGCCGAAAAUCCCAGACCUGGAGGAGCUGCACAGCCACCCCGGAAAUCACUGCUUUUUGGAGGUUCUGGGUUCUAAUCCUAGCUAUCUGAACAUAUUUUCGCUCUAUCGAGAUUUUCAUCCGGAAGGCUUAUUUCUCAGGAGGGGACAGAACAACAGGUAACGGGCCGGUUACCGAAAAUCUGUACUGAGAAAAAAACCCUGGCCUGCCUAGAUGUGGGAUAUAAAACACAUCCUAGUUUGCAAACUUCCCGUGUCCGGUCUAGCUACUGGUGGUUGCAAAACCUUGCUCAUAUGCAUGGGUACAAUGCUCUUUAGUCUUUGCUGAAGUUGAGAGAAAUGAAAUAUAGACUUGGGAGGUAUCAGGAAUAACAACAUAUCCGGUGAAAAUGGGCCCAACAUGCGAACC
RNAcentral lists this long non-coding RNA (692 nucleotides) under Brachypodium distachyon (stiff brome). RNAcentral describes it as "long non-coding RNA (BDIS_LNC004239)". The record is from RNAcentral. Lineage: Eukaryota; Viridiplantae; Streptophyta; Magnoliopsida; Poales; Poaceae.